GUGUGCCCUCCUGGACAGCCCUGCUGGCUGAGAUGUUCCAGUGAGUCUGAAAGGGAUGUUCGGUGCUCCUGGAAGGCCUGUCAGGCUGGAGACGGGUGAGCUUGAACGGAGCUGCCCGGCCUUGCCGCGCCCUUCACCGGUUUCUCGUUUCAGGAGAGGAGCAUCACUUUGGGAACGCAGACUCCUUGACUCGCCCCCCUAUAAAAGCAUGUAGGUCCGCAGGCAUUUCUUCAGCUUAUUUUCGUCAAGAGAGUCCAUUAAAGGAAAAAGCAAAGGCUUAUGACAGUAACGAACCCGAGAAACCAUCAGAGCAUCAACGAAACGUUUAUACACUGUUAAAAGAAAGAAAGGCUGACUUCCUUGAGAAAAAUCAGGAGCACUACUCAUCUACAUCACAGAGCAAAAGUAAAUUUCGAGAUCAGUCCAGUAUAGGGAAGGAGUCACAGCCUUUGCCCAAAAGUAAGACUUCUGCUUUCACUUCUGUUUUGUGCUUGUGUUACAUUUAACCAUUUUCGUGCCUGUCCAAGUAUUAAAUUUCCUGGUAGCUGGUGUUAAACUGAGGGUCCUUGCCAGAACAGAUGGUUUGCUUGCUAGGGCGUGUGUUUUCAGCACUAAGGAAGGAAGGGUGUUGUACAAUAGGUAAUGUUGCCACCUGAAUUUAAGGUCUUCCAUCUGUAGUGUUUACAAUAUUUGCUGCAAGAUUAAAACCAUGGCAGGCCUACUGGUGUUCUUAUUUACCAGUUGUUGUGUUGCUGUCCUGGUAAAAGUUAGGAUAUAAAAAGGUAGUGUAAGGUAUACAGUUCUUUCCUGUUUCCAGGGAGGUUGAUAUAUUUUGUCACUGAUUUUACUGGGAACAGAAUCGAGCCUUAUGCUUGUAGUAUGUCACACAGCUGUUAAUUUAACUGUUCAAAUACCAAACCAAAAUAUCUGAUAUUCUCUGUGCAGUUUGCUGUGUG
RNAcentral lists this long non-coding RNA (956 nucleotides) under Athene cunicularia (burrowing owl). RNAcentral's name for it is "lncRNA (ENSACUG00000003584.1)". Lineage: Eukaryota; Metazoa; Chordata; Aves; Strigiformes; Strigidae. The record is from RNAcentral.